This 20-nucleotide microRNA is filed under the name Mus musculus (house mouse). RNAcentral describes it as "mmu-miR-3970". The record is from miRBase by way of RNAcentral. Lineage: Eukaryota; Metazoa; Chordata; Mammalia; Rodentia; Muridae.
GAGGUUGUAGUUUGUGCUUU